AAUGAUUUGAUUUAAUAGCCGCAGUAUUUUGACUGUGCAAAGGUAGCAUAAUAAAUUGUCUUUUAAUUGGAGGCUGGAAUGAAUGAUAGGAUGUGAUGGAUGCUGUCUUUAUGAUAGUUGAUUGAAAUUUACUUUUUGAUGAGAAGGUUAAGAUUUGAUUGGUAGACGAGAAGACCCUAUCAAGCUUUAUUUUAGUGUGAAUUUUGCUUUUUUUAUUUAGAGGGCGGAUUUUCAUUUGAAUUUUGUUGGGGCAAUGUUUGAAUAUAAUGUAAUUUUUUAUUUUUAUUUGGAGUAUGAUCCAUUAUUAGUGAUUGUAAGAGUAAGUUACUGUAGGGAUAACAGCGUAAUUAGUUUGGAGAGUUCAUAUUGGUAAAUUAGAUUGCGACCUCGAUGUUGGUUUAUUGAUUCUUUAGGGUGUAGCAGCUUUAUUAGAG
This 434-nucleotide ribosomal RNA is filed under the name Eremochelis giboi. RNAcentral's name for it is "partial 16S ribosomal RNA". It matches the Rfam family "Bacterial large subunit ribosomal RNA", at positions 1911 to 2571 of the family's 2925-position model. The record is from RNAcentral. Lineage: Eukaryota; Metazoa; Arthropoda; Arachnida; Solifugae; Eremobatidae.